Molecule: ribosomal RNA, 911 nt
Filed under: uncultured crenarchaeote
Lineage: Archaea; Thermoproteati; Thermoproteota
Description: bacterial SSU rRNA
Rfam family: Archaeal small subunit ribosomal RNA
Source: RNAcentral
UUCCGGUUGAUCCCGCCGGACCUGACUGCUAUCGGAUUGAUACUAAGCCAUGUGAGUCAUUGUAGCAAUACAAGGCAGACGGCUCAGUAACACGUAGCCAACCUACCCUAUGGACGGGGAUAACCUCGGGAAACUGAGGAUAAACCCCGAUAGAUCAUAAUGCCUGGAACGGUUUAUGGUCCAAAUGAUUCGUCGCCGUAGGAUGGGAUGCGGCCUAUCAGCUUGUUGGUGAGGUAAUGGCCCACCAAGGCUAUUACAGGUACGGGCUCUGAGAGGAGAAGCCCGGAGAUGGGUACUGAGACACGGACCCAGGCCCUAUGGGGCGCAGCAGGCGAGAAAACUUUGCAAUGUGCGCAAGCACGACAAGGUUAAUCCGAGUGUUUCCUGCUAAAGGAAUCUUUUGCUAGUCCUAAAAACACUAGCGAAUAAGGGGUGGGCAAGUUCUGGUGUCAGCCGCCGCGGUAAACCAGCACCUCAAGUGGUCAGGAGGAUUAUUGGGCCUAAAGCAUCCGUAGCCUGCUCUGUAAGUUUCCGGUUAAAUCCAUUAGCUCAACUGAUGGGCCGCCGGAAAAACUGCAGAGCUAGGGAGUGGGAGAGGUAGACGGUACUCGGUAGGAAGGGGUAAAAUCCUUUGAUCUAUUGAUGACCACCUGUGGCGAAGGCGGUCUACCAGAACACGUUCGACGGUGAGGGAUGAAAGCUGGGGGAGCAAACCGGAUUAGAUCCCGGGUAGUCCCAGCUGUAAACGAUGCAGACUCGGUGAUGCCCUGGCUUGUGGCCAGUGCAGUGCCGCAGGGAAGCCGUUAAGUUUGCCGCCUGGGAAGUACGUACGCAAGUAUGAAACUUAAAGGAAUUGGCGGGGGAGCACCACAAGGGGUGAAGCCUGCGGUUCAAUUGGAGUCAACGCCGGA